Long non-coding RNA from Lemur catta (Ring-tailed lemur), 2802 nucleotides. RefSeq lists it as uncharacterized. The record is from RefSeq and is a predicted model, not a curated record. The transcript has 3 exons. Lineage: Eukaryota; Metazoa; Chordata; Mammalia; Primates; Lemuridae.
GCCCCGGCGGCGGCGGCGGCGGGGAUGAAGGGCGAGACUGCGCUGGCUGGGGUGCCCGCGAGGGCGAAGGAGGCUGUGCGGGACCCGGACCGGGACCGGGACCGGGACCACGGCCUAGGGGCACAGCCUCCCCGUCCUGUUCUCGGGACCCCUAGGAGCAGCCGGCCUCGGGGCGAGAGGCGAACAUUCGGAUCCUCCCCCUGGGAUCUGAGCUGGCGUGAAACGCGGGGGACAGGGUGGGGGCCGCGGCGGCGGGGUGAAGUCUGACAAACUCGAUGAAGAACUUGGUAAGUUCUGUGUUUCUCUUCUAUGGUAAAUUGAAAGUACAGCCUGUGUCCUCUCAGAACACUUAACUCCCUGUGAUUGGUUGCAGAUCGAAGAAAAUUCCUAGGAGUAGAGGGUAAGUGAAGUCAAGAUUCUCAUCUUUGACAUGGCAUAUGCCACUGCCUGUAACAGAUCCUACCCUGCCAAGUGACUGAACUAAACUUAAAUGUCUCCAUCUAUUUGUAGAUCUGAUUGAAGCUUAAAGAUCUGCAAGUAAAUGCAAAGUGAAUAAUGUGUAUGUAGUUGAGAAUGACUUUACACUUGUCACCUAAUCUCUCUGGGAUUCUACUGUGAAAGAAAAAGAUUUUGCCCAAAUAAUCUACAAAACAAUUUUGAACUCAGAAAAUCAUUUGAUUCUGGAUACAUGGACCUAAUGUUAAAUAAGAACCAAGUCAAAAAAUAGGGGAAAUAGUUUUAGAAAAGACUGUCUUAAUGCACAAGGUUUACAAAGAACAGAUACACUACAAUAACCUUACUCUAAAAUGCAGGUUUUAAAUCAGUCAGAAAUAAGUUUUUACUCUAAUUCUAAUCCUACCAAUACCACAACUACAAGAUUCUCCAGAAAAAGAUUGAUAAGAUAUGGAAUUUGUUUUCUGUUCUCUUUCCUCUCCUCUUGAAAUUUCAAGUCUUCCACAUCUAUUAGAUUAUUAUUAUCUAUAUAAACAUGUGAUGAUAUUUCUCCUAUCAAGAAAAAAAAGUAAGGAAUAGCAAACUCUCUUGAUCUAAUUUCUCCAUCUGGCUGCUAUCUUAUUUCUCUUUCCUUUACAGGGAAACCUCACUAGAUAGUUGUGAAUCCUCAUUCUCUUUAAUUUUUACCUUCCCAUUUCUCUCCAUCUCAUCCACAUAACGGUCCUGCACCCCUCCUGCCUUGUUGCCUUUCUAACAGUAUCUCCUUCCUCUCCCCACUCUUACUCUCCUUCCCCUGCACUGCCUGGUUACCUGCGCUUUGAACAUACUGAACGUGCUCCUGACUCCGUGCUUUGCACGUGGCAUUGUCUGCCUGACAUUUCUCUAUCCCUCUGUACUUUUCGCUCUAUACAUGGUGGUUGUGAUGUUCCUAGUGCAAAUAGUGAGGACAUAUUUGAGAUGGGGACCAUUGUUAAAGAUGUUUCAUAAGGAAGUGGCUGUGCCCUUGGAACCUCUGAUGUGCUGUGGAUCAGUUUCACAGAUGAAAUGAUGUGAUGUUUUCCUGCAAGAAAAGAACUUCAGACUUGUGAGUGGAAUGACGUAAUGGGCAAUGACAUAGAGAUGAUGUUUAUUUUAUCUCUGUAUUUAAGAAAUGGACCCUUGAAUGUGAUCUGCUUUGUUCAUCAUCCCUGCUUUGACCCCUCUUAGAGGUUGAAAAGUCUUAUCUUAAGGCCUAUAAUUAAUUGAUCUUUCUUCUUCUGCAGUGGACAUAAGACUGGAUAAAGCCACUGCUCACCCUCACCUUGCUGUGUCAGCUGACGGGAAACUUGUGGAAUCCCUUUUAUAUGAGUGAGAUGUUCCUGACCACCCUGAACGAUUUGAUACUCUGUGGGCCGUGCUGGGUCAGAACAGCAUCUCUGGCAGUAGGCAUUAUUGGGAAGUCCAAGCAGCAUGGAAGACUAGGGCACAGCUGGGAUACAUUCCACAGGAGUCAUCCUCAUGGACCACAGUACCAUGUAGCCAUUUCCCAACCAGGACACUGGUAGGCUGGGGGUGUCAGAAUCUGCCAAGGAGGCCCCAGUCUCCUUCCCAGUCUAGUGGGCAACUAAGAAUGAUCCCUCCCAUUGGACCAUUGCCAUCGCUCUUCCCAACAACCCGUCCUCCCCUUAACACAUUUUCCUUUUUGCCUUUUAGGUCUAAGAAAUGCAAACUCUCUUAUCCUUCUUAGAUUUGAGCUGAGAUUUUGACACUAGCCCUCAACAAAUCACUGUUAAGCAUUUCUCAGCACGCCUUAACCAGAUUAAUACUGUGUUUCCAUUUCACCAUUAAUGUGUGGGCUCUUCAAGACUAGAAAGCAAGCGGUGCUCAUUUGCAUAACCAUUUCUGUGCCAAAAUCAUUGCCAUGAGCACUGGAUAGCUUUGAAUUGAGUAAAAUUGAAUCCUACGAACAACCAGACUACCAUAUUCUCUCAAAGUCAUUUUUAUACAGCAACUAUCAUUGUACAUAGGCCCUUCCCCAAUUUCUUUAUUUUGUUUAUUUUAUUUUAAUUUAAAAAUAUUUAAUUGACAAAUAAAGAUUAUAUAUAUUCAAGAUACAGAACAUGAUUUUAUAUAUAUAUUAAUAUGUAUACACACACAUGUAGUAUACUGAUUACCACAACCAAAUUAAUUAAGGUACAUCACCACCUAUGCUGCAUACUAGAUCCCCAGAAUGUGUUCAUCUUAUAAUUUAAAGUUUGUGCCCUUUGACCAAUAUCUCCCCAUCCUCCCUCCCCUAGUUCCUGGUAACCACUGUUCUAUUCUCUGAGUUCAAUUUUUUUUAGAUUUUUUUUAGAUUCUGAAUAUAAGUGA